Molecule: long non-coding RNA, 2895 nt
Organism: Biomphalaria glabrata
Lineage: Eukaryota; Metazoa; Mollusca; Gastropoda; Planorbidae
Exons: 2
Source: RefSeq, a predicted model, not a curated record
AUGUUGGUUUUUUUUUUUUUUUGUGGUUACUUAGAAUCAACUUCUACUCUUUUGGUGGUGGCUGAUUGAAUAGACUUGUGCAUUUUUCAUAACCGCUGCUUGGACUCUAUAUGAACAUUAUUCGUAGUUUCUGUUUUGAAUCGACCUGUUUGUUAUUUGUAGUGGCUAUUUGAAAUCGGCUUGUGCUUUUUUUGGGGGGGAUAGAUCUUUAAAAUCGGACUUCUGAGUAGUUAAGGGGGAUGCACAGUGAGAAAACAUCGAUCUAGGUCAAAAAUAUCGAUAUUUUAAAAUUAAUUGAUUUUAAUAGUUUAAAAUGUCUAGAAAACGAAUUCCCUAUCAGAAUACUAAAAAAACUGCGCUUUAUACAUCAAUUUUGUAUUUUAAAAGUAGAUGUAUAAGCAAAAUUUUGAUGUUUUGGUUAAAAAUCAACAUUUUGUAAGCUAAAGUUGAUAAGCUAAUGUACGCUCUUAUCCCUAACAGAUGGUAUCGAUACAAAGGUCUACUUUUCUAGUUCCGAUUAUGAGCAUGGUUUCUCAUUCUAUAAAUAUAAACUUUCAAAAUACGUCACUACCUCUUUUUUUUUCCUAUAUCCUCAUAUACACACUCACUAAGCCAUAUUUACGCAUGCGCACUAUCAAAGCUACAUUGGUAACUAUGACAACAAAAUUUGCACGCAUGCGCACAUGACGUGAACCGGUCCUCCUUCUGUAAACAAAGCUUCCUUCACAUCAACACUCGAUUCAUUAUUCAAACUCAGAAAUGCCAACAAAAGGUUAGAUCUAUAUGUUUGGAAAGAAAAAACGUUACUGUAAGCCCAGAGGAAGACAUGCUUCAAAGACAAAUGCAUAAUUACAAAGCUCUGUUUUCGAUACAGCUGGAUCUGAAGCAGCAACAACGCAGCCUGCAAGUGCAGCUGAACGAAAAAUAAUUCUAACUGCAAUUACUAACGCUGAUAACACCAAUAAGAGGCUGCCUGAAGAUUUCAUAUACGUCAUGAUGAAUUCAAUGGAAUUGACCACAAUGGUCUCCUUGUUGUGCUGUCCACAUUGCUUUGACAAAAAAUUAACCAUGUGCAUCACACAAUCAAAAGGCAUGGCUCAUUUGAUUAAAAUCAAAUGCCUAAAUUGUGAAACAUAUUUGUGGCCUGACUGGACCUAAAAAAAAAGUAAUAAUGUUCAUCUGGAUAUUAAUGUCCGCGCUGUCGCUGCAUUAAAAGAAUCUGGAAUCUCGCAUUCUAAAUUUGAUAGGUUUUGUGGACUUAUGAGUAUGCCCUGCAUGCACAGAAAUACUUAUAACAAUCUAGCUAACAUAGUCAACACUGCUAUAAUUGAAGCUGGUGAAGAAUGUAUGAUUAGGGCAUCUGCUGUUGUGCAUGGAAGAAACAUUUCACAACCUCUGACUACAGAUGAUAGAAUAAGUUCAACAGGCUGUCCUGUUAUUACAGUUUCUUUCGAUGGGACUUGGCAUAAAAGGGGCCACUCAUCUCAUUCAGGAAUUGGCACAGUUAUUGAUUUUGAUACUGGACUCGUCAUCGACACCGAAGUCCUAUCAAAUUAUUGCUGUAUUUGUGAUUCAAACUCUGCAGAACUAAAUUUUGAUGCCUCUAAGCAUAUGUGUCAAAAAAACUUCAGUGGCUCAGCAAAUGCAAUGGAGGCCGCAGCAGCAUCCAAAAUUUGUUCUCACUCUGUGGCAUCAGAAAACUUGUUUAUGGCAUGAUGCUGUGUGAUGGCGAUAGUAAAUCACAUUCAUCUGCCAUUACCAACUCAGGAUAUGAUGUAGAAAUCUUAAAAGAGGACUGCAUUAACCACAUCUCAAAAAGAAUGUUUAAUGCUUUGAACAAUUUAAAAAUGUCUAACAAAAAAGAACUAAAUUAUAGGCUUACAAAGCCAAAAAUUGAAAAAAUUACAAAUAACUAUUCCAAAGUUCUGCGCCAAAAUGCUCCUGACAUUCAAAAAAAUGAAGCUGGCUGUUAUGGGCUCAUUUUUUCAUAUGAUGAGCUCAGACCUAGAUCAUAACCACAGGUUGUGUCCUGAUGGCACUACAUCUUGGUGUCACACUUUAAGAGAUCAGAGACACUAAAACAGCCAUACAAAAAACAUAAUCAGACCAUCACAUCAGAAAUAGGAAAACUGUUAUUUCCUAUAACAGACACAGAUCUGUUAAAAACAUGUUCAAGAAUGGGAACACAAAACGCCAAUGAAUCUUUUCAUUCCCUCAUUUGGCAAAGAUGCCCCAAAACAGAAUUCGCAACAUUAAAAACUAAAGACGGCGACAUACCUUGCUGUUUUAGCCUUCAAUAAUGGACCUGUUUUCAUCAGUUUUUGACAUAUUAGUCGUUCCCUGGACACUAAAGAACAUUUCUUCUAGUGAGAAAAAGCAAAAUGUCAAACUACAGCUUGUUGUUAGAAAAAGAAGAUCAAUCACAUUAGUGUCCAGGAGAAAAAAAUUGAAAAAACGAAGAAUUGAGCAUGAGCACCGGGCAGAGGUUCUAGAAGGUCCAACCUAUCAAUCAGGCCAUUUUAAUGAAUAGUUUUUUUAUUAUAUAUUAUGUUAUAUUAUGUAAAUAUUCCCUUUUUUUUAUAUUUUUAUGGUUGCAAUAAAUAUUUUAUAUCAUUUUAAAAACUUUAAAUGCGUUUUUCUCAAAAUGUAUUUUUAGGUGCAUGUUGUCCACAAGAAUCUCAAAAUCUUUAGUUCUGUAUAAUUUAGACUAAUAAUUUUUCACAUGUAGUUUAUUGAUAGUAUAUCAUAGGUAAUAGGCUGCAAAAAUUUUCAAUAUGUUUAAUUUUCAUAAAAAAAGAAAAAUAAUGAUGUGUCCGCAGGUGAAAAAUGUGGUCUGAAAAAAAAAAAAAAUUUUUUAAUUCAUUUUGAGGUUAUGAUGCGACAAAAUGUAUUUAA